GAUGAAGAACGCAGCGAAAUGCGAUAAGUAGUGUGAAUUGCAGAAUUCAGUGAAUCAUCGAAUCUUUGAACGCACAUUGCGCCCCUUGGUAUUCCAUGGGGCAUGCCUGUUCGAGCGUCAUUUGUACCUUCAAGCUCUGCUUGGUGUUGGGUGUUUGUCUCGCCUCUGCGUGUAGACUCGCCUUAAAACAAUUGGCAGCCGGCGUAUUGAUUUCGGAGCGCAGUACAUCUCGCGCUUUGCACUCAUAACGACGACGUCCAAAAGUACAUUUUUACACUCUUGACCUCGGAUCAGGUAGGGAUACCCGCUGAACUUAAGCAUAUAAUAAGCGGAGGA
This 336-nucleotide unclassified non-coding RNA is filed under the name soil metagenome. Its description in RNAcentral is "partial contains 5.8S ribosomal RNA, internal transcribed spacer 2, and large subunit ribosomal RNA". The stretch from base 1 to 120 matches the Rfam family "5.8S ribosomal RNA", at positions 35 to 154 of the family's 154-position model. The record is from RNAcentral.